GGCGGCGCGCCUAAUACAUGCAAGUCGAGCGAGAACGGGGCUUCGGCCCUGGGGAGAGCGGCGAACGGGUGCGUAUCACGUGAGCAACCUGCCUCGGAGACCGGAAUAACUCGAGGAAACUCGGGCUAAUGCCGGAUGCCCUCGGUGGACCGCAUGGUCCGGCGAGGAAAUGGAUUCCGCUCCGAGAUGGGCUCGCGGCCUAUCAGCUUGUUGGUGGGGUAACGGCCUACCAAGGCGACAACGGGUAGCUGGUCUGAGAGGACGAUCAGCCACACUGGGACUGAGACACGGCCCANACUCCUACGGGAGGCAGCAGUAGGGAAUCUUGCGCAAUGGGGGAAACCCUGACGCAGCGACGCCGCGUGCGGGAUGAAGGCCUUCGGGUCGUAAACCGCUUUCAGCAGGGACGAAAUUGACGGUNCCUGCAGAAGAAG
Molecule: ribosomal RNA, 434 nt
Filed under: uncultured Actinomycetes bacterium
Lineage: Bacteria; Bacillati; Actinomycetota; Actinomycetes
Description: bacterial SSU rRNA
Rfam family: Bacterial small subunit ribosomal RNA
Source: RNAcentral